CUUAAUUUGACUCAACGCGGGGAACCUCACCAGGCCCGGACACUGGAAGGAUUGUUGGAUUAAGAGCUUUUUUCAAUUUGGUGGGUGGCGGUGCAUGACCAUUCUUAGUUGGAGGAGUGAUUUACCUGGUUAAGCGCAAUAAUGAAUUUCAUCAGCUUGUCUUGUACCGACUUGGUUUGGUCCCUCGUUGUAACUUCUUAUUAGAGGAAUCUGUACCAUCUAGAUACAAAAGACUGCUCCAAAA
RNAcentral lists this ribosomal RNA (244 nucleotides) under uncultured marine eukaryote. Its description in RNAcentral is "partial 18S ribosomal RNA". It matches the Rfam family "Eukaryotic small subunit ribosomal RNA", at positions 1189 to 1455 of the family's 1831-position model. The record is from RNAcentral.